Molecule: ribosomal RNA, 277 nt
Filed under: uncultured Synergistaceae bacterium
Lineage: Bacteria; Thermotogati; Synergistota; Synergistia; Synergistales; Synergistaceae
Description: partial 16S ribosomal RNA
Rfam family: Bacterial small subunit ribosomal RNA
Source: RNAcentral
CGCAUUCAGUUGCCAUCGGGUGAAGCCGGGCACUCUGGAAGGACUGCCAUCGACAAGAUGGAGGAAGUGGGGACGACGUCAAGUCAUCAUGGCCCUUAUGUCCAGGGCGACACACGUGCUACAAUGGCCGGCACAACGGGAAGCGAGUUCGCGAGGACGAGCGGAUCCCUUAAAGCCGGUCGCAGUUCGGAUUGAAGUCUGCAACUCGACUUCAUGAAGCUGGAAUCGCUAGUAAUCGCAGAUCAGCCAAGCUGCGGUGAAUACGUUCCCGGGCCUU